This 784-nucleotide small RNA is filed under the name Pan troglodytes (chimpanzee). RNAcentral describes it as "processed transcript". Lineage: Eukaryota; Metazoa; Chordata; Mammalia; Primates; Hominidae. The record is from RNAcentral.
GAAGACCAGCCUGCCUCUGGUCGGUUCCCGGCGCUCUGCGUUUCGUGACCUUGUCCAGUAGAAGGCUAUUUAAUUUUCACAACUGCUUGAAUUUUGACAUACAAGAUGAAGCAAGAUGCCUCAAGAAAUGCUGCCUACACUGUGGAUUGUGAAGAUUAUGUGCAUGUGGUAGAAUUUAAUCCCUUUGAGAAUGGGGAUUCAGGAAACCUAAUUGCAUAUGGUGGCAAUAAUUAUGUGGUCAUUGGCACGUGUACGUUUCAGGAAGAAGAAGCAGACGUUGAAGGCAUUCAGUAUAAAACACUUCGAACAUUUCACCAUGGAGUCAGGGUUGAUGGCAUAGCUUGGAGCCCAGAGACUAGACUUGAUUCAUUGCCUCCAGUAAUCAAAUUUUGUACUUCAGCUGCUGAUAUGAAAAUUAGAUUAUUUACUUCAGAUCUUCAGGAUAAAAAUGAAUAUAAGGUUUUAGAGGGCCAUACCGAUUUCAUUAAUGGUUUGGUGUUUGAUCCCAAAGAAGGCCAAGAAAUUGCAAGUGUGAGUGACGAUCACACCUGCAGGAUUUGGAACUUGGAAGGAGUGCAGACAGCUCAUUUUGUUCUUCAUUCUCCUGGCAUGAGUGUGUGCUGGCAUCCUGAGGAGACUUUUAAGAUAUGAAAGAUAACUCCAGGUCACUCAACAGGUUUAAAUGGUACAGCUCAGGAGUUUUGAUGCCAAAUCCCACAUUCUUGCCAAUCUACCACUACUAUUUACACCCUCAAGGAUUUUUCAACUUAAUAGAACCAGAAUU